Long non-coding RNA from Bombyx mori (domestic silkworm), 949 nucleotides. RefSeq lists it as uncharacterized. The record is from RefSeq and is a predicted model, not a curated record. The transcript has 2 exons. NCBI's taxonomy places the organism in Eukaryota, Metazoa, Arthropoda, Insecta, Lepidoptera, Bombycidae.
CCGCAUGUAGAUAUAGUUCGAUAAACUUUCGGUCGUUUAUGUCUGAAGCUCCGCCGAUUCUCAUGUUAUCACAAAGACACUCCCCGAAUAAUAAAACUCAUUAUUCAGACAUUUUUCUUUGGAACCAACUGAUUAUUUGCGAAACAUUUUUAGAUAGCUUUUAUUAGCGAUAAAUAUAUUUUCAUUAAAUGAAAAGUAAUUAGAUCGUUUGCAAACACUUUGCUAGCGGUGUCACGACCGUGAGCAUUCAACUUUACGUACGUUACUAUCUUAAAAAAGAAUAAAACAUAAUGAUCGAUUGCGAUUGUGUGUCGCAACUCAAAUUUAUAGAGUAGAUGGACUUUUUGGCGGGAAGGCGAGGAGUGAAGUUGUGUGAUUUGUUUUAUUUUAUCUAUUUAGUGUUUCAUCAGGUUUGAAUCUGUAAUAACGGUGGUUUAUUAACUUUAAUAUAAAAUAUGUGAAAGUGCACAAAUGUGGGAAAAUGUAACAAAGCCGCUGGACGUAACUUCUCGGGAUCCUCCAAAAAGUCCACUGAAAAAAUCUCAGCUACCACUGCUACCAGCGGUGGUCCGAUCAGAUUAAGACGACUUUAAACUCCAGCAUCAAUGUCGCUGUGUGACCCAGUGAUCAAUCCACUACGCGGAGGACAGGAAGGAAUGGAGGAACAUAGUCCUAACAAGUGCUCCGUAAAGUUCACGACCCUCAGCACUGAAGAACACGAUGUACGGAGGAAGUGAGUCUACCAGCGAAUAGGUAGGGAAACAAAAAUAUAUAUCGGUGAAGUAUACCUACGUAUUAGUACCUACUAGAGGAUGACCGAGCUUUGGUUGGUAUUUUUUUGUUGUUGAUAAAUUGUGUUUUUUAGAAUUUAUAUUUAAAUGCGAAUUACAUAUUGAUAUUAUAUUAUUUGUUAUUUUCUUUCAAUAAAAAUAAAUAAAUUUAUGUUUAA